AGUUAAACUAUUGGAGUUUAGGGUUUACAGCGCUCUGCCUUCUCUCAGAACCAGAACCAUCCGCCCAGCUCUACUUCCGCUCGCCAGCGUGCAGCAUGCGGCGUCUCAUUUUAGUGGUGACGAAACUCCUGCGUUAGCAUAAGAUGUGUAGCUAAUUCAUUGCCUAGAAAUCCAGUUCAUUCUUUGUCCAUAUCAAGUCUUUGUUUCACUGUGUCUUGUGUUAGUGCUUGUUUGAUCUUGAUAAACCUGGUAAUGCAUUGUGAAAUGCAAUAGUAGCUUUUUUGAUUUUUCUUUGUUUUACUUAUUGUCGGCCAUUAUCGUGUAACCGAAUCUCCAUCUUCUUUCUGUCCAGACGUGCGUAAAUUUGAUGUUGUUUCAAUGUAACAGUCAAUUGUUAGCGACCAAUCGAACUGAUGAAUAGGAUCGACGUGCCACAUCUCAUUUACGGUCGAACUUUCCGGCAGUAAACCUGGAGUAUCAAGA
Long non-coding RNA from Hyalella azteca, 483 nucleotides. RefSeq lists it as uncharacterized. The transcript has 2 exons. NCBI's taxonomy places the organism in Eukaryota, Metazoa, Arthropoda, Malacostraca, Amphipoda, Hyalellidae. The record is from RefSeq and is a predicted model, not a curated record.